CUCCCUCUCCCCAUCCCUAUGGGCCUCUCUUUCUGUCUCUCUCUAACUCUCUCUCCCUCUCCCUAGUUCAGUACAUAUCGAAUCGACAUGAUAUAGGUCUGUACUAUACCAAAACGUCAUCAACUGGUACACCCCUUGGUACCAAUUUGACAAACCAUGGCAAGAGGGCUACAAGAGCUAUUUAGAUCGGCUCUAUCAUAGAGAUGAGGGAUGUCGAGAUUGUCUCCAGCAUACAGAUGAGGCUUGCCAAGAACAUCUCUAAUGUGGCCUUCUCUCGAACGGGGGUCCUCAAAAUUUCACUUGUGAACAAGAGAG
Molecule: long non-coding RNA, 315 nt
Filed under: Phoenix dactylifera (date palm)
Lineage: Eukaryota; Viridiplantae; Streptophyta; Magnoliopsida; Arecales; Arecaceae
Description: long non-coding RNA (PDAC_LNC003500)
Source: RNAcentral